UAGGGCGCAGCAGAUAGCUCAGGGGAGACUGACGUCAUCUACUUACUCAUCAUCUGCCGGAAAUCACAAACAUCAUGGUUCCCUGCGUGCUCAUCUCAGGCUUGGUGCUGCUAGCCUACUUCCUGCCGGCUGCCUCACCAGAGCCUGGGCACUGCCGCCCCGGAGAUACGCUGCUGUGGGGAUGCCGUGAACUUCGUGGCCAAGAACAUGAGAGGGCAGGACGGCAUCUGCUUCUGGGUCGCUCGGGUGCUCUUCAGCCUGGGCUCCAACCUUAUCUCAUCGUGGCCUACUUGAACCGAGUGUCCGAUCUCCCCUACCCGCUGGGUAUCCAGCCUU
This 336-nucleotide long non-coding RNA is filed under the name Homo sapiens (human). Its description in RNAcentral is "non-protein coding lnc-CCDC102B-11:1". Lineage: Eukaryota; Metazoa; Chordata; Mammalia; Primates; Hominidae. The record is from RNAcentral.